AAUCCCAUAUGAGGACACUAAUGAAGUAAUUCCUUGAAUCUUUCCUACACCUCGUUUAAAGAUUCGUCAUCUAAUUUUUGGAAAGUUGUUAUCUCAUUACGCAACUU
This is a small nucleolar RNA of Gossypium arboreum, 107 nucleotides long. It matches the Rfam family "Plant small nucleolar RNA R71". From Rfam's summary of the family: R71 is a member of the C/D box family of snoRNAs containing the C (UGAUGA) and D (CUGA) box motifs. Multiple nearly identical copies of this snoRNA have been identified in Arabidopsis, and it is thought to function as a 2'-O-ribose methylation guide for 18S ribosomal RNA. NCBI's taxonomy places the organism in Eukaryota, Viridiplantae, Streptophyta, Magnoliopsida, Malvales, Malvaceae. The record is from Rfam.